UUACGGGAGGCAGCAGUGAGGAAUAUUGGUCAAUGGGCGCAAGCCUGAACCAGCCAUGCCGCGUGCAGGAUGAAGCAUCUAUGGUGUGUAAACUGCUUUUGUACGGGAAGAAACACCGGUUCGUGAACCGGCUUGACGGUACCGUAAGAAUAAGGAUCGGCUAACUCCGUGCCAGCAGCCGCGGUAAUACGGAGGAUCCAAGCGUUAUCCGGAAUCAUUGGGUUUAAAGGGUCCGUAGGCGGGCCUGUAAGUCAGUGGUGAAAUCUCCCCGCUCAACGGGGAAACGGCCAUUGAUACUGCAGGCCUUGAAUUACUAGGAAGUAACUAGAAUAUGUAGUGUAGCGGUGAAAUGCUUAGAUAUUACAUGGAAUACCAAUUGCGAAGGCAGGUUACUACUAGUGGAUUGACGCUGAUGGACGAAAGCGUGGGUAGCGAACAGGAUUAGAUACCCUGGUAGU
RNAcentral lists this ribosomal RNA (458 nucleotides) under uncultured bacterium. RNAcentral describes it as "bacterial SSU rRNA". It matches the Rfam family "Bacterial small subunit ribosomal RNA", at positions 339 to 794 of the family's 1533-position model. The record is from RNAcentral.